CUAAUCCUGCCGCCGUCCGGAUGACCGGUCGACAUCGGUGCAUCGGCAGGAGUGGAGGACCCGAGUACGACGGGCCCGCCCGGGAAGUCCGGGCGACGCCCUUGGGGUGAAGCCGCAGAGCACGACGCGGCCGGGCAUCUUCGCCUGCCCGAACCCGACAGGUCAUCCUUCUCAGGCGGCUGACGAAGGGUUAU
This 194-nucleotide small RNA is filed under the name Streptomyces sp. RNAcentral describes it as "c-di-AMP sequence". It matches the Rfam family "c-di-AMP riboswitch aptamer (ydaO/yuaA leader)". Rfam says of the family: This family represents a conserved RNA structure found upstream of the ydaO and yuaA genes in Bacillus subtilis and related genes in other bacteria. The ydaO/yuaA element is thought to act as a genetic "off" switch for the ydaO and yuaA genes in its native state. It is believed that the element may be triggered during osmotic shock leading to activation of ydaO, a predicted amino acid transporter gene, and members of the yuaA-yubG operon which code for KtrA and KtrB K+ transporters. Lineage: Bacteria; Bacillati; Actinomycetota; Actinomycetes; Kitasatosporales; Streptomycetaceae. The record is from RNAcentral. RNAcentral also lists the same sequence under 1 other name.